Molecule: ribosomal RNA, 253 nt
Filed under: uncultured bacterium
Lineage: Bacteria
Description: partial 16S ribosomal RNA
Rfam family: Bacterial small subunit ribosomal RNA
Source: RNAcentral
UACGUAGGGGGCAAGCGUUGUCCGGAAUUACUGGGCGUAAAGGGCGCGUAGGCGGUCCGAUAAGUCCCGUGUGAAAUCCCUCGGCUCAACUGAGGAAUGGCACGGGAAACUGACGGGCUUGAGUUCGGGAGAGGGAAGCGGAAUUCCGGGUGUAGCGGUGGAAUGCGUAGAGAUCCGGAAGAACACCGGUGGCGAAGGCGGUCUGCUGGGGUCGAACUGACGCUGAGGCGCGACAGCGUGGGGAGCAAACAGG